This 72-nucleotide transfer RNA is filed under the name Bifidobacterium longum. RNAcentral describes it as "tRNA-Val". It matches the Rfam family "tRNA". Rfam says of the family: Transfer RNA (tRNA) molecules are approximately 80 nucleotides in length. Lineage: Bacteria; Bacillati; Actinomycetota; Actinomycetes; Bifidobacteriales; Bifidobacteriaceae. The record is from RNAcentral.
GGGCGGUUGGCGCAGUGGUAGCGCACUUCCCUGACACGGAAGGGGUCACAAGUUCGAAUCUUGUAUCGCCCC